UUUCACAAUCACAGUUGUUCGUAUUUGCGAAAACUCCCAUAUCAGAAAUUUCGCCAACCAAAUCAGGCAACAUCUAUCAGUUAAUCCGGCUCGUUUGCAAGCCGGCCUACCCAAUUUUCGAGCUUCCCGCUCCAUCCUUCGCAGAUCUAUCAUAAACUAAACAAAUUUCGCGAUUUGAUUUGAUAUUGGUAGAUUCUGUGAAGGUAUUGAUUCGUCUUUUGUUUUUGUUUUGAUGGCGACGAGGAAUCGGACGAUUCUGUUUAGAAGGUAUAGGGAUGCGUUGAAGAGCGUUAGGGCUCCGGUGGGCUCCUCGAGCUCCGGCGGAAGAGCGGUGAUCGAGCUCUCCACGGCGUCCUUGCUUAACCCUAAUCGAUCUUACACUCCUCUUAGCACUGAAGAUCCCGGAACCUCCAGUAGGGGAACAGUUGCAGUAGGUUUACCACCAGCUUGGGUGGAUAUAUCUGAAGAAAUAGCGACUAACGUACAACGUGUGAGAGGGAAGAUGGCCGAGUUAUCAAAGGCUCAUGCCAAGGCUUUAAUGCCUUCAUUUGGAGAUGGUAAAGAGGAUCAACGUCAGAUUGAGGCACUAACACAAGAGAUAACCGAUCUUUUGAAAAAGUCAGAAAAAAGGUUACAAAGACUCUCUGCUGGUGGGCCUUCAGAGGAUUCAAAUAUCAGGAAAAAUGUCCAGCGUUCGUUAGCUACUGAGCUCCAGACCCUCUCAAUGGAGCUACGAAAGAAACAAUCAACAUAUUUGAAACGGCUCCGGCAGCAGAAAGAGGGUUCUGAUGGGGUUGACUUGGAAAUGAACAUAGAUGGAAGCAAGUCGACAAGAGAUGAUGAUUAUGAUAUGGAUGACAUAGGAUUCAGUGAACAUCAAAUGGCCAGACUAAAGAAAAGUGAAGCGUUCACUGCAGAAAGGGAGAGAGAAAUUCGACAGGUGGUGGAAUCUGUCAGUGAACUUGCUCAAAUUAUGAAGGAUUUGUCAGUUUUAGUCAUCGAUCAGGGGACUAUUGUUGAUAGGAUCGAUUACAAUAUAACAAAUGUUGCAGCCUCGGUCGAAGAUGGUUUGAAACAACUUCAGAAGGCAGAGAGAAGUCAAAAACAAGGUGGCAUGGUUAUGUGCGCGACAAUUCUUAUUAUUAUGUGUUUGGUGAUGCUAGUACUUUUAGUUUUGAAGGAGAUUAUCUUCUAAGCUAAGCUGGUAUGGUUAUAUGAUUAUACUCUCAAGCCAAUGAGUCGGAUUUCCAAGUUUUCCCAGUCACCGACUAUCUUACUAAAUGUCGAAAAAAGUUGCAGUUAAUUCCUCCUCAUGGUUUCUUUCUUCCCUAUAGAAUUUCCGGCAUCAUGUAUAGGCUUGAGGAUUCCAUAUUCAUUCUUCCUUUUCAACCUUUUUGUGUAGGAGGAUAUUGUAGUUGUACACGAAUGGACGCCUUUGUUUUAGCCCAAAUCUUCUCUUGCAAGGACUCAUUCUUCAACGCAGCAUUUAAGAUGAAUGACAAGGGAGAGGGAUGUUGAUGGCAAGCUAAUGCACACAUGCUGUGAGAAGGAACUGUAAGGUAAACAUUGAAAAACGGCAAACAGAGAGAAGGGGAGCAACACAAGGAAAAAGAGGAUGCAGAAAGUUAUGCAUCAUAGUAUCAUUUUUUCCGCAAAACGUUAGUGGUAAUUGGUAAAGGAUAUUUAAAGCCACCGACUCUAAUUUAAACCGAAUUUCAAAAA
Molecule: RNA transcript, 1722 nt
Organism: Salvia splendens (bonfire salvia)
Lineage: Eukaryota; Viridiplantae; Streptophyta; Magnoliopsida; Lamiales; Lamiaceae
Gene name: syntaxin-43
Exons: 9
Source: RefSeq, a predicted model, not a curated record